AGUGAACGCUGGCGGUAGGCCUAACACAUGCCAGUCGAACGGCAGCACAGUAAGAGCUUGCUCUUACGGGUGGCGAGUGGCGGACGGGUGAGGAAUACAUCGGAAUCUACUUUUUCGUGGGGGAUAACGUAGGGAAACUUACGCUAAUACCGCAUACGACCUACGGGUGAAAGCAGGGGAUCUUCGGACCUUGCGCGAUUGAAUGAGCCGAUGUCGGAUUAGCUAGUUGGCGGGGUAAAGGCCCACCAAGGCGACGAUCCGUAGCUGGUCUGUGAGGAUGAUCAGCCACACUGGAACUGAGACACGGUCCAGACUCCUACGGGAGGCAGCAGUGGGGAAUAUUGGACAAUGGGCGCAAGCCUGAUCCAGCCAUACCGCGUGGGUGAAGAAGGCCUUCGGGUUGUAAAGCCCUUUUGUUGGGAAAGAAAAGCAGCAGGUUAAUACCCCGCUGUUCUGACGGUACCCAAAGAAUAAGCACCGGCUAACUUCGUG
This 492-nucleotide ribosomal RNA is filed under the name uncultured bacterium. RNAcentral describes it as "partial 16S ribosomal RNA". It matches the Rfam family "Bacterial small subunit ribosomal RNA", at positions 29 to 507 of the family's 1533-position model. The record is from RNAcentral.